AUAGUGGAUAUAGUCAUGAUUCGAUGGGUUAGAUCCACUUACUUUUUCUUUUUUAUUUGUCGAUUUCUAAUCUAUCGAAAAAGAAAAAAAAAGAAUAUAUAUUUGGCGAUUCAAGAGACGUAUCUAUUUAGAUACGCUCGAAUGACCCCUUCUCAUAAUGAAAAUGUAUAUAACCUUAUUCCGGUCUGGUCCGGUAUGGAAUGAACUUAUAAUCAUGGAAUCGACUCGAUCAUCAGAUUAUAGAUUACAAGUUCAUAACCUUAGUCCAUUCCCAUUUUGGGCGGAACCCAUCUACUAAUUCUUUGAUUCCAGUUAGUAUUAGUAAGAGGGAUCUUGAACUAAGAAA
RNAcentral lists this long non-coding RNA (346 nucleotides) under Eutrema salsugineum. Its description in RNAcentral is "long non-coding RNA (ESAL_LNC000550)". The record is from RNAcentral. Lineage: Eukaryota; Viridiplantae; Streptophyta; Magnoliopsida; Brassicales; Brassicaceae.